GAGUCAAAUGCUUGCUCUCAUAAGGACAAGGCGUGAUGAGGAGCGAAAUUAAAGUAGCGAAGGCUGCGACGUCACACUGCCGAGAAAAGCUUCUAGCCAGAGACGGUGCACCCGUACCGCAAACCGACACAGGUAGUCGAGGAGAGUAUCCUCAGGUGAGCGAGAGAACUCUCGUUAAGGAACUCGGCAAAAUGGCCCCGUAACUUCGGGAGAAGGGGCGCUGGUCGCAAGAUCAGCCGCAGUGAAAAGGCCCAAGCAACUGUUUAUCAAAAACACAGGCAUCUGCAAAAUCGUAAGAUGAAGUAUAGGUGCUGACACCUGCCCGGUGCUGGAAGGUUAAGAGGAGAGCUUAGCGCAAGCGAAGGUUUGAAUUGAAGCCCCAGUAAACGGCGGCCGUAACUAUAACGGUCCUAAGGUAGCGAAAUUCCUUGUCGGGUAAGUUCCGACCUGCACGAAAGGUGUAAUGAUUUGGGCACUGUCUCAACGAGAGACUCGGUGAAAUUAUAAUACCCGUGAAGAUGCGGGUUACCCGCGACAGGACGGAAAGACCCCAUGGAGCUUUAC
This 564-nucleotide ribosomal RNA is filed under the name Lactobacillus delbrueckii subsp. bulgaricus. RNAcentral's name for it is "partial 23S ribosomal RNA". It matches the Rfam family "Bacterial large subunit ribosomal RNA", at positions 1533 to 2104 of the family's 2925-position model. Lineage: Bacteria; Bacillati; Bacillota; Bacilli; Lactobacillales; Lactobacillaceae. The record is from RNAcentral.